RNAcentral lists this ribosomal RNA (583 nucleotides) under Cordyceps tenuipes. RNAcentral's name for it is "LSU rRNA". It matches the Rfam family "Eukaryotic large subunit ribosomal RNA", at positions 37 to 615 of the family's 3401-position model. Lineage: Eukaryota; Fungi; Ascomycota; Sordariomycetes; Hypocreales; Cordycipitaceae. The record is from RNAcentral.
UGCAUAAUAAUAAGCGGAGGAAAAGAAACCAACAGGGAUUGCCCCAGUAACGGCGAGUGAAGCGGCAACAGCUCAAAUUUGAAAUCUGGCCCCCGGGUCCGAGUUGUAAUUUGCAGAGGAUGCUUCGGGCGAGGUGCCUUCCGAGUUCCCUGGAACGGGACGCCACAGAGGGUGAGAGCCCCGUCUGGUCGGACACCGAGCCCGUGUGAAGCUCCUUCGAAGAGUCGAGUAGUUUGGGAAUGCUGCUCAAAACGGGAGGUAUAUGUCUUCUAAAGCUAAAUAUUGGCCAGAGACCGAUAGCGCACAAGUAGAGUGAUCGAAAGAUGAAAAGCACUUUGAAAAGAGGGUUAAAAAGUACGUGAAAUUGUUGAAAGGGAAGCGCCCAUGACCAGACUUGGGCCCGGUGAAUCACCCGGCGUUCUCGCCGGUGCACUUUGCCGGGCACAGGCCAGCAUCAGUUUGGCGCGGGGGAGAAAGGCUUCGGGAACGUGGCUCCCUCGGGAGUGUUAUAGCCCGCUGCGCAAUACCCUGCGCCGGAACUGAGGUACGCGCAUCGCAAGGAUGCGGCGAAGGCCCACCCUUG